AAGAAGGUUUUCGGAUCGUAAAACUCUGUUGUUGGAGAAGAAUGUAUCUGAUAGUAACUGAUCAGGUAGUGACGGUAUCCAACCAGAAAGCCACGGCUAACUACGUGCCAGCAGCCGCGGUAAUACGUAGGUGGCAAGCGUUGUCCGGAUUUAUUGGGCGUAAAGCGAGCGCAGGCGGUUUCUUAAGUCUGAUGUGAAAGCCUUCGGCUCAACCGAAGAAGUGCAUCGGAAACUGAGAAACUUGAGUGCAGAAGAGGACAGUGGAACUCCAUGUGUAGCGGUGAAAUGCGUAGAUAUAUGGAAGAACACCAGUGGCGAAGGCGGCUGUCUGGUCUGUAACUGACGCUGAGGCUCGAAAGCAUGGGUAGCAAACAGGAUUAGAUACCCUGGUAGUCCAUGCCGUAAACGAUGAGUGCUAGGUGUUGGAGGGUUUCCGCCCUUCAGUGCCGCAGCUAACGCAUUAAGCACUCCGCCUGGGGAGUACGACCGCAAGGUUGAAACUCAAAGGAAUUGACGGGGGCCCGCACAAGCGGUGGAGCAUGUGGUUUAAUUCGAAGCAACGCGAAGAACCUUACCAGGUCUUGACAUCCUUUGACCACUCUAGAGAUAGAGCUUUCCCUUCGGGGACAAAGUGACAGGUGGUGCAUGGUUGUCGUCAGCUCGUGUCGUGAGAUGUUGGGUUAAGUCCCGCAACGAGCGCAACCCUUAUUACUAGUUGCCAGCAUUUAGUUGGGCACUCUAGUGAGACUGCCGGUGACAAACCGGAGGAAGGUGGGGACGACGUCAAAUCAUCAUGCCCCUUAUGACCUGGGCUACACACGUGCUACAAUGGAUGGUACAACGAGUUGCGAGACCGCGAGGUUUAGCUAAUCUCUUAAAACCAUUCUCAGUUCGGAUUGUAGGCUGCAACUCGCCUACAUGAAGCCGGAAUCGCUAGUAAUCGCGGAUCAGCAUGCCGCGGUGAAUACGUUCCCGGGCCUUGUACACACCGCCCGUCACACCAUGAGAGUUUGUAACACCCAAAGCCGGUGAGGUAACCCUUCGGGGAGCCAGCCGUCUAAGGGGA
This 1066-nucleotide ribosomal RNA is filed under the name Latilactobacillus sakei. RNAcentral's name for it is "bacterial SSU rRNA". It matches the Rfam family "Bacterial small subunit ribosomal RNA", at positions 408 to 1465 of the family's 1533-position model. The record is from RNAcentral. Lineage: Bacteria; Bacillati; Bacillota; Bacilli; Lactobacillales; Lactobacillaceae.